Molecule: long non-coding RNA, 558 nt
Filed under: Salmo salar (Atlantic salmon)
Lineage: Eukaryota; Metazoa; Chordata; Actinopteri; Salmoniformes; Salmonidae
Description: lncRNA (ENSSSAG00000114195.1)
Source: RNAcentral
CAUAAAUCUGAGAAACGUGAGUUUGUCAUCAUUUUUUAUCUAGACAUAGGAUAGGUUGUGUGAAAAUAUUACUGAUGUUUAACGUUAAAAAUGGACCAAAAGAUUAAUGCUAAACAACAUUUGACAUGUUUGAACGAACAUAAAUAGAUUAUUUACUAGGUUUUUUAGCUUUUCGGCGUGAUUUUACCAGCCCCCCAACCACGUUUUGUGGGAGCAUAAUGAACGCUAAGUACUUGGUGUUAUUUGGACAUAAAUUAUGAACUUUGUCAAAAGAAACCACAUUUGUUCCGGACCUGGAAUGCCUUCCGGACCUGGGAUCCUGCCUUCUGAUGGAGAUAAUCAAAGCACUUAAAUCUGGUAUCCACACCUCCGGGCCAUCCAAUAUCCUGUACUUUCCUUUUUCCUACAGCAAAGGAAGGAAGGAAGCUCUGGCGCUGGCAGGUGGAGUCAAGGCAUUAGAACGCACCAGAGGCCACCAAAAUAGAGCUCCUUUGGCCAAAAAAAAUGAACCCAGAAGGGGCUGCCAGUGGGAGCCUGGCUGGCUACUUUUUCUAUUUG